Long non-coding RNA from Oncorhynchus tshawytscha (Chinook salmon), 1419 nucleotides. The record is from Ensembl. NCBI's taxonomy places the organism in Eukaryota, Metazoa, Chordata, Actinopteri, Salmoniformes, Salmonidae.
CUGAAAAGAUAGGGAGAAUACCAGUCUGUUUGUGUAGCUCCAGUGUAAUCCACUAAUAGGGUCUAUGGUCAGGAUAGUAUUGGAUUAAUAGGCAGGUAAUGUGAUGAGUGUCUUAUAAAUGAUCCUUCCAUGUGUUCUCCUGUCCAGGAGGGGGAGCCAGACAGUUCAGAGAAGGAUGUGGUGAAAGAUCAAAUCAUGUCAAAUCUAAUGUUAUUUGUCACAUGUUUAGAAGAUGUUAUUGCAGGUGUAAGCGAAAUGCUUGUGAUGCAAUGUGAGGUGCUGUCUGCCUGUUGUCAUAGCAGUGAGCAGGUUGAGUAAGAUCUCUCUCUUUUCUCUAAUACAUUCGCUCAGUUAAAUUCAAUGAUGCUUUACUGCCAUGACUGCAAAAAUGCAAUGUUCUCAAAACGAGACACAUAAUUCCAUUUUUUGUUUGUUUGAUGGAGCAGUCUCCCUCGCUCUGACCCCGACAUUUGACCUCUCUCUGGUGCUGUUUCAGAGCCAAAGGGACUACGGCGAUAUCGGUGUGGAGGUGGUGGAUGUCAGAGUGAGCUCCCUCCCUCCCUCUCGCUCUCGCUCUCUAGCUGGUGUUAUUGAGAAACUGGAAAGAUGAGGAUUCAUCAGUGAGAAAGUCACUAAAGUGUGUCUCUUCUCCUCAAUCCACAAAUGCUCUGCUUUACUGUCAGACAGACAGGGCCCAGAUGGACAGUGAUGACGAGGUGAAACACACACGAGCACGACACGUGCACACACACUGAUGCACACACACUGAUGCCCCCAUUCUCAUCGACGGGGCUGCAGUGGAGCAGGUUGAGAGCUUCAAGUUCCUUGGUGUCCACAUCACCAACAAAGUAGAAUGGUCCAAGCACACCAAGACAGUCGUGAAGAGGGCACGACAAAGCCUAUUCCCCCUCAGGAGACUGAAAAGAUUUGGCAUGGGAUCCUCAAAAGGAUCUACAGCUGCACCAUCGAGACCAUCCUGACUGGUUGCAUCACUGCCUGGUAUGGCAACUGCUCGUCUUUCGACCGCAAGGCAGGUAGUGGGUGGUGACAGAGGGUAGUGCGAACAGUCCAGUACAUCACUGGGGCCAAGCUUCCUGCCAUACAGGACCUCUAUACCAGGUGGUGUCAGAGGAAGGCCCGACAAAUUGUCAAAGACUCCAGCCACCCAAGUCAUAGACUGUUCUCUCUGCUACCGCACGGCAAGCGGUACCGGAGCGCCAAGUUUAGGUCCGACAGGCUUCUAAACAGCUUCUACCCCCAAACCAUAAGACUCCUGAACACCUAAUCAAAUGGCCACCCAGACUAUUUACAUUGCCCACCACUCCCCCUCUUUUACACCACUGCUACUCUCUGUUGUUGUCAUCUACGCAAAGUCACUUCAAUAACUCUACCUUCAUGUACAUAUUACCUCAACUAACC